GAUGAAGAACGUAGCGAAAUGCGAAAAGUAAUGUGAAUUGCAGAAUUCAGUGAAUCAUCGAAUCUUUGAACGCACAUUGCGCCCGCCAGUAUUCUGGCGGGCAUGCCUGUCUGAGCGUCAUUUCAACCCUCACGCCCCUAGGGCGUGGUGUUGGGGAUCGGCCAAGGCCCGCAAGGGACGGCCGGCCCCUAAAUCUAGUGGCGGACCCAUCGUGGCCUCCCCUGCGAAGUAGUAAUAUAUUCCGCAUCGGAUAGCGAUGAGCCCCUGCCGUUAAACCCCCAACUCUUUCAAGGUUGACCUCAGAUCAGGUAGGAAUACCCGCUGAACUUAAGCAUAUCAAUAAGCGGAGGA
This 351-nucleotide unclassified non-coding RNA is filed under the name soil metagenome. Its description in RNAcentral is "partial contains 5.8S ribosomal RNA, internal transcribed spacer 2, and large subunit ribosomal RNA". The stretch from base 1 to 120 matches the Rfam family "5.8S ribosomal RNA", at positions 35 to 154 of the family's 154-position model. The record is from RNAcentral.